RNAcentral lists this unclassified non-coding RNA (511 nucleotides) under Hevea brasiliensis (rubber tree). Lineage: Eukaryota; Viridiplantae; Streptophyta; Magnoliopsida; Malpighiales; Euphorbiaceae. The record is from RNAcentral.
GAAUCAACUAAUCUGAAAAAGAAAGGACGAUGUUUUCUUCUCCUAAGACAAGUGCUUGUUCUUUGGUGCUGCCAAUUAUUUUGGCAGCGCUAGUACUAGUGCACCAAUCUAAUGCUCAAUUAAGUGCUACGUUCUAUGCUACCACAUGCACUAAUGUGUCUGCCAUUGUUACUAGUGUUAUUCAACAGGCCCUUCAAUCCGAUUCUCGGAUCGGCGCAAGUCUUAUUCGCCUUCAUUUUCAUGAUUGCUUUGUUAAUGGAUGCGAUGCUUCACUUUUGCUAGACAGUACUUCAAGCAUACUGAGUGAGAAAUUUGCCGCUCCAAACGUUAACUCUGCUCGGGGUUUUGAUGUCGUUGACAAUAUCAAAACUGCUGUGGAAAAUUCUUGCCCUGGUGUUGUCUCCUGUGCGGAUAUUCUUGCACUCGCAGCUGAAGCUUCUGUUUCUUUGUCAGGAGGACCAUCCUGGAAUGUACUGUUGGGAAGAAGGGAUAGUCUCACAGCAAAUCAGGC